UACGGGGGGAGCAAGCGUUGUUCGGAUUUACUGGGCGUAAAGGGCGCGUAGGCGGCCACCGCAAGUCGGUUGUGAAAUCUCUGGGCUUAACCCAGAAAGGUCAACCGAUACUGCGGGGCUAGAGUGCAGAAGGGGCAAGUGGAAUUCUCGGUGUAGCGGUGAAAUGCGUAGAUAUCGAGAGGAACACCUGCGGCGAAGGCGGGUUGCUGGGCUGACACUGACGCUGAUGCGCGAAAGCUAGGGGAGCGAACGGG
RNAcentral lists this ribosomal RNA (254 nucleotides) under uncultured bacterium. Its description in RNAcentral is "partial 16S ribosomal RNA". It matches the Rfam family "Bacterial small subunit ribosomal RNA", at positions 524 to 776 of the family's 1533-position model. The record is from RNAcentral.